Molecule: long non-coding RNA, 677 nt
Organism: Drosophila arizonae
Lineage: Eukaryota; Metazoa; Arthropoda; Insecta; Diptera; Drosophilidae
Source: RefSeq, a predicted model, not a curated record
AAAAAACAAAAAAAAGAAACAGAAAAAUGAAAGAAAAGUUUCAGGUCAUGUACAAAUUUAAGUGCUAAAAAAUUUGCUGGAUUAUGUGGUAGUUGAUGAAGUUGUUGCGCGGGGAAUUAAAUGUCAAAUGUUUGAUCUGAGCUCGACGCAUUGUUGCUCCAGUAAUUCACUAAUAGAUUUCUCUGCCAAAUAUUGGAUUUUGAUGAUGAUCUACUCCUCCCUAAUCUCGCCAACUUCCACACGUGGGCCAGGCAAACAAAACUUUUGAUUAUUACUGGCAGCCCACGCGCAUAAAACUUAAGACAAACACAGCUGACGUUUUUUGUGAGAGAGAGAGAGAGAGAGAGAAAUAAAGAUAGUCAGUGUGGGUUGGCUUGGAGGCUCUGCGGCCUAUCAAGAUAAAUAUUAGGUACAUUUUACGCCCGCUUAUUAUUUUUAGCCGAGGCAAAGUUGAACUUUUAGCGCGAGCGAAUACCGAAACUAACUAAGGAAGCAAGUAGCAACAAAAUUCUGCAGAAAUUGGGGAAAAGAUACUGGGUAUUUGGCUGGAAAUUGAAGUCCCAGCGCAGCUGAUGUAAAAAUAAUUUUCGGUACACGCCAGACAUAAGCCCGAAGCUGUUGCUUUGCCAACGACUUCGUAGUUUACUUCAAGUGCGGCGGGGCCAAUGAAGAUAUUA